This 473-nucleotide ribosomal RNA is filed under the name uncultured bacterium. Its description in RNAcentral is "partial 16S ribosomal RNA". It matches the Rfam family "Bacterial small subunit ribosomal RNA", at positions 28 to 507 of the family's 1533-position model. The record is from RNAcentral.
GUUGAACGCUGGCGGCGUGCCUAAGACAUGCAAGUCGAGCGGGCCGCGGGGUUUUACUCCGUGGUCAGCGGCGGACGGGUGAGUAACGCGUGGGUUCCCUCCCCGGAAGCGGGGGACAACCCGGGGAAACUCGGGCUAAUCCCCCAUGUGGACCCGCCCCUUGGGGUGUGUCCAAAGGGCUUUGCCCGCUUCCGGAUGAGCUCGCGUCCCAUCAGCUAGUUGGUGGGGUAAUGGCCCACCAAUGCGACGACGGGUAGCCGGCCUGGUCGGGCGGGAGGCCACAGGAGCACUAGACCACGAGGCCCACCCGUACGGGAGGCUGCAGUUCGGAAUCUUCCGCCAUGGGCGCAAGCCUGACGGUGCGUCGCCGCUUGGAGGAAGAAGCCCUGCGGGGUGUAAACUCCUGAACCCGGGACGAAACCCCCGACGAGGGGACUGACGGUACCGGAGUAAUAGCGCCGGCUAACUCCGUG